RNAcentral lists this small nucleolar RNA (103 nucleotides) under Choloepus hoffmanni (Hoffmann's two-fingered sloth). Its description in RNAcentral is "Small nucleolar RNA U13 (ENSCHOG00000016022.1)". The stretch from base 1 to 75 matches the Rfam family "Small nucleolar RNA U13". Lineage: Eukaryota; Metazoa; Chordata; Mammalia; Pilosa; Megalonychidae. The record is from RNAcentral.
UUCCUUUUGUGGCUCAUGAGCAUGAUGAAUGGGUAUUCACUCAUUUGUGUGAAACGUGCCUCCUCUGACAUGUAAAAAAGAAAAAGAAAAUAAGACUCUUACA